This is a long non-coding RNA of Centruroides sculpturatus (bark scorpion), 678 nucleotides long. RefSeq lists it as uncharacterized. The record is from RefSeq and is a predicted model, not a curated record. Lineage: Eukaryota; Metazoa; Arthropoda; Arachnida; Scorpiones; Buthidae. The transcript has 3 exons.
AUAACAAUUCUAAUUACAAAAACGCAACACGACAAAGUCGCGCGGUGUUCCUAGUUAAACUUAUAAACAUGGUCUAUUUAUUUCUAAAAUCAAAAGCUUCUAAUUAAUUAUUAUUUUCGUUUAUAUAUAGUAACUUAAAAAAUUAUUUAGUGUUUAAAAAAUCGAGGAACAAUUAACAACAAAUGUGAUUGAACUUUAAAAACUGGAUGAUGAAAAUAUGAUGUGAAUGUCAUCUACACAGUUCAAUUCAUUUUACGCACCAUUAGUUGAGAAAAUCAACAGGAUACAUUUACUGCUAAGAAAAAAGGCAACAUUUUAAGGAGCGUCGGCAUCAAAAAAAUUAUCGACAAAAGGCACAGGAGCGAUGAUGUGACAACCGGACAUAAUACUGUGAAAAAUGUUAAGUGUUACGACAAUGCCACAUUCUAAUUGUUGUUAAUCAGAUUAAUUUUAUAUACUGCAUGGACGUUGAUGUAAUGUGAUUUAUCCAAUCUGGCAUAGUAUAUUAUCAUUUCUCAAGGGAUGUAGAGAUGUUAUAUAUGUAUUUUUUUGUGAAUGGACAUAUAUGUUGCAUCGUCCUCACUCGCAAGCGGCACUUUAGCCAUUGUUGUAUAAUAUUUGUCAUAGAUACCAUGAUAUACAUUAUUUGUUGCUAUGUGUAUGUCGAUGUAUUGUACU